This 163-nucleotide unclassified non-coding RNA is filed under the name uncultured Basidiomycota. Its description in RNAcentral is "sequence contains ITS1". Lineage: Eukaryota; Fungi; Basidiomycota. The record is from RNAcentral.
UUGAAUAAAAACACUGAAGCAGGUUGUUGCUGGCUCUCCUCGGAGUGCAUGUGCACGCUUGUUCUUCUUUAUUUCUCCAACUGUGCACAAAUGAUAGACCUUGGUCUAUGUCUUCACAAUCUAUAUAUCUGAAUGUACUUGUGGAAUCUGGGGAAUAUAUAUA